RNAcentral lists this transfer RNA (82 nucleotides) under Arthrobacter woluwensis. It matches the Rfam family "tRNA". From Rfam's summary of the family: Transfer RNA (tRNA) molecules are approximately 80 nucleotides in length. Their secondary structure includes four short double-helical elements and three loops (D, anti-codon, and T loops). RNAcentral also lists the same sequence under 2 other names. The record is from Rfam by way of RNAcentral. Lineage: Bacteria; Bacillati; Actinomycetota; Actinomycetes; Micrococcales; Micrococcaceae.
GCGCGAGUGGUGAAAUUGGCAGACACGCAGGAUUUAGGUUCCUGUGCCUUCGGGCGUGUGGGUUCAAGUCCCACCUUGCGCA